This 504-nucleotide ribosomal RNA is filed under the name uncultured soil bacterium. Its description in RNAcentral is "bacterial SSU rRNA". It matches the Rfam family "Bacterial small subunit ribosomal RNA", at positions 35 to 587 of the family's 1533-position model. The record is from RNAcentral.
GCUGGCGGCAGGCCUAACACAUGCAAGUCGAGCGCCCCGCAAGGGGAGCGGCAGACGGGAGAGUAACACGUGGGAACGUGCCCUUUGGUUCGGAACAACACAGGGAAACUUGUGCUGAUACCGGAUAAGUCCGUAAGGAGAAAGAUUUAUCGCCAAAGGAUCGGCCCGCGUCUGAUUAGCUUGUUGGUGAGGUAACGGCUCACCAAGGCGACGAUCAGUAGCUGGUCUGAGAGGAUGAUCAGCCUCACUGGGACUGAGACACGGCCCAGACUCCUACGGGAGGCAGCAGUGGGGAAUAUUGGACAAUGGGCGCAAGCCUGAUCCAGCCAUGCCGCGUGGGUGAUGAAGGCCCUAGGGUUGUAAAGCCCUUUCGGCGGGGAAGAUAAUGACGGCACCCGCAGAAGAAGCCCCGGCUAACUUCGUGCCAGCAGCCGCGGUAAUACGAAGGGGGCUAGCGUUGCUCGGAAUCACUGGGCGUAAAGCGCACGUAGGCGGCUUUUUAAG